AGAAAAACGAAGAUAGGGAUAAGUACCUUUUCAAACCUUAUAUAGCGAACUGAGGACGGUGUAAGCUCAGGAUAAGGAGAUUAGUGGGAAUAUCACCCUGGAGUUCCGCGCUGAACAAAUAGAGUAAGCGUAGGCGUGUAUUCGCGUUAAGAAUAUAAAGAGGGUUUUAUACAUAUGUAUAGAAUCUACUAGGGUGGUACCGCGGGAGACUUUCUCGUCCCUUUU
Molecule: non-coding RNA, 225 nt
Filed under: Bacillus cereus
Lineage: Bacteria; Bacillati; Bacillota; Bacilli; Caryophanales; Bacillaceae
Description: T-box sequence
Rfam family: T-box leader
About the family: Uncharged tRNA acts as the effector for transcription antitermination of genes in the T-box leader family. T-boxes are found upstream of many aminoacyl-tRNA synthetase genes and some amino acid biosynthetic genes usually in Gram-positive bacteria.
Source: RNAcentral